AGACCGAUAGCGAACAAGUACCGUGAGGGAAAGAUGAAAAGCACUUUGGAGAGAGAGUUAAACAGUACGUGAAAUUGUUGAAAUGGAAACGCUUGAAGUCAGUCGCGUUCUCUGGGAUUCAGCCUGGCUUUUGCUUGGUGCAUUUCCCGGUCUACGGGCCAGCAUGAAUUUUGACCAAUGGAAAAAGGCUUGGGGAAUGUGGCACCUUCGGGUGUGUUAUAGCCCCUUGUCACAUACGUUGGUUGGGAUUGAGGUCUUAGUGCACGCUUCGGUUGUGCUUUGAUGCUGGCGUAAUGGCUUUAAACGACCCGUCUUGAAACACGGACCAAG
RNAcentral lists this ribosomal RNA (330 nucleotides) under Rhizoctonia solani. RNAcentral describes it as "eukaryotic LSU rRNA". It matches the Rfam family "Eukaryotic large subunit ribosomal RNA", at positions 331 to 670 of the family's 3401-position model. The record is from RNAcentral. Lineage: Eukaryota; Fungi; Basidiomycota; Agaricomycetes; Cantharellales; Ceratobasidiaceae.